AGUAUUGCUUAGAGGUAGAGCACUUGCCUGGCAGGCAAGAGGCCCUGAGUUCAAUCCCCAGUACU
Molecule: transfer RNA, 65 nt
Filed under: Ictidomys tridecemlineatus (thirteen-lined ground squirrel)
Lineage: Eukaryota; Metazoa; Chordata; Mammalia; Rodentia; Sciuridae
Description: Spermophilus tridecemlineatus (thirteen-lined ground squirrel) tRNA
Rfam family: tRNA
About the family: Transfer RNA (tRNA) molecules are approximately 80 nucleotides in length. Their secondary structure includes four short double-helical elements and three loops (D, anti-codon, and T loops). Further hydrogen bonds mediate the characteristic L-shaped molecular structure. tRNAs have two regions of fundamental functional importance: the anti-codon, which is responsible for specific mRNA codon recognition, and the 3' end, to which the tRNAs corresponding amino acid is attached (by aminoacyl-tRNA synthetases). tRNAs cope with the degeneracy of the genetic code in two manners: having more than one tRNA (with a specific anti-codon) for a particular amino acid; and 'wobble' base-pairing, i.e. permitting non-standard base-pairing at the 3rd anti-codon position.
Source: Rfam by way of RNAcentral